GACGAACGCUGGCGGCGUGCUUAACACAUGCAAGUCGAACGGAAAGGCCCUGCUUUUGUGGGGUGCUCGAGUGGCGAACGGGUGAGUAACACGUGAGUAACCUGCCCUUGACUUUGGGAUAACUUCAGGAAACUGGGGCUAAUACCGGAUAGGAGCUCCUGCUGCAUGGUGGGGGUUGGAAAGUUUCGGCGGUUGGGGAUGGACUCGCGGCUUAUCAGCUUGUUGGUGGGGUAGUGGCUCACCAAGGCUUUGACGGGUAGCCGGCCUGAGAGGGUGGCCGGCCACAUUGGGACUGAGAUACGGCCCAGACUCCUACGGGAGGCAGCAGUGGGGAAUAUUGCACAAUGGGCGGAAGCCUGAUGCAGCAACGCCGCGUGCGGGAUGACGGCCUUCGGGUUGUAAACCGCUUUCGCCUGUGACGAAGCGUGAGCGACGGUAAUGGGUAAAGAAGCACCGGCUAACUACGUG
RNAcentral lists this ribosomal RNA (468 nucleotides) under uncultured bacterium. RNAcentral's name for it is "partial 16S ribosomal RNA". It matches the Rfam family "Bacterial small subunit ribosomal RNA", at positions 28 to 507 of the family's 1533-position model. The record is from RNAcentral.